UACAUGGGGUGCAAACGUUGCUCGGAAUUAUUGGGCGUAAAGAGCUCGUAGGCGGCGUGUCGCGUCGGAUGUGAAAGCCCGGGGCUUAACUCCGGGUCUGCAUUCGGUACGGGCAUGCUGGAGUUCGGUAGGGGAGACUGGAAUUCCUGGUGUAGCGGUGAAAUGCGCAGGAGUAAUCAGGAGGAACACCGGUGGCGAAGGCGGGAUCUCUGGGCCGAUGACUGACGCUGGAGGAGCGGAAGCGUGGGG
Molecule: ribosomal RNA, 249 nt
Filed under: uncultured bacterium
Lineage: Bacteria
Description: partial 16S ribosomal RNA
Rfam family: Bacterial small subunit ribosomal RNA
Source: RNAcentral